GGGCCUACGGGAGGCAGCAGUCGGGAAUUUUGGGCAAUGGGCGAAAGCCUGACCCAGCAACGCCGCGUGAAGGAUGAAAUCCCUCGGGAUGUAAACUUCGCAAGAACGGGAAGAAUAAGUAAGGGUUAAUAUCCCUUACGAUGACGGUACUGUUUGUAAGCUCCGGCUAACUCCGUGCCAGCACCCGCGGUAAU
RNAcentral lists this ribosomal RNA (194 nucleotides) under uncultured bacterium. RNAcentral's name for it is "partial 16S ribosomal RNA". It matches the Rfam family "Bacterial small subunit ribosomal RNA", at positions 335 to 524 of the family's 1533-position model. The record is from RNAcentral.